GAAUUUCCUAGAGCUGUGGAAUGGCUUUUCAUCGAUAGUUUAGAAAGUCCGGUGAAAGCCAAAAACGAACUAGAAAAGAA
RNAcentral lists this unclassified non-coding RNA (80 nucleotides) under Epilithonimonas mollis. Its description in RNAcentral is "Chryseobacterium molle Flavo-1 RNA". The record is from RNAcentral. Lineage: Bacteria; Pseudomonadati; Bacteroidota; Flavobacteriia; Flavobacteriales; Weeksellaceae.